UGGUGCGGUGCGGGGGUGCGGCAGGGAGAGCCCCCGGCCCGCGGAGGGCUGCGGGAAGUUGGGCGCUGCGCUCCUCGCUCCGCCGCCCCCUCACAGGAAAACUGGGCGGAAGCGUCGGCUUCGGGCUCCUUCCGCCGCCACUGCGCGAUCCAAAAUAACCGCAGGGGAGCGGGGCGGAGGGAAGUGGGUGGCCCCCCCGCACACCCCUCCCUUACACUCCUCCCGCUGCCCGGCCGGGUGCGCCGCUCUCCCUGAGCCCCGCUGCCGCUCGGCUCUCCCAAAGUAGUUCCCGCGGCUCUGCCUCACGCCAUUCCCGGGAGCCGCCGCGGAGGGAUACGUGCCACAGCGCUGUGAGCUGAGUGCUGAGUGGGGCGCCGCGCGGGCCGGGACCGGCGGGCUGAUGGGUACCCCGCGGGGGAGCUGUCGCCGGGAUCCAUGUGCGCCGGGCCCGCGGGAUGGAGGCGCGAAGAGGGGCAGAUUCCUGCCAAUGAAGUCUUGAGAUAUUGUCUGCUUGCUGCUGUGCCCUCCUGAAUGAACCUAGUAAUUACCUGUAUUCAAACUGAUAACAAUCUGAGCAGCACUCCUCCUUGUGUUCCAGGUAUUAGUUAAGGCAGUCCUGAAGCUAUCUGACCCUGGGACAAACAAGAGCUGCGGAAUGUAAAAGCAGCAGCCUCUCCUGUUGACGAAACCUCUGGACAUUUCAGCCGGAUUCACUUAGAUUCAGAUAGAUCAGAUUGCUUUUCCUUUGUUCUUUAAUCUUUCCACCACUCUUUUUCCUUCCUCCUAUAAUGUCAAUAAUGUUGAUUUUUGUUUUAUCUCCCAUUAGUAAUAGAGCCAAUCAAUGGCUUUCAGGACUGGUGACAGCUGACAUUUACUAUGGAAUAACCCAAUCUGCCAUAUCAUUGCCAUCUCCCAUGCUGGCCAUAACUAUACUUCACUGCUCAUAAAGAUGCUAGUGAUUACUUAUAUCAAUUGAAACACAUGCAGUAAGCUUUGACAGCAUCAUAAUGAAUCUUCUGAGGACAGUUCUCUUGUGGUUCAGAUGCUUCGCUGUUUCUCUCAGAUUCUUCAUUUUCAAGUCUACCACUUAGUUUUUCACAGUCUUUUGUCAUUUGCUCAGAGUUAAGGUGAAGAAAUGUGAAGUUCUAAAGCUGAUGCAUCUAUUGCUUUCCAAAUUCCACAGAGAUUCUUCAAACACUGUGCAGCAAAGUAAAUUUCUCCAGCAAGUCAAGCUAAUAUGAAUGAAAAAAAGAAUCCAAAAAUCACUGAUGUAAAAUUAUGUAUUUUCACGAUCAAAAGGCUCUCAUGGGAUAGAGAAACACACAAUAUAUGCUGCUCUGAAAUUACUCAGAACAGCUGAAGAAUUCAUCCUGCUAUUCUUAGAAACAGUUCUGAGAACACUGCCUUUGCUGUAUGAUCACAAAUAAAUCCUAUUUCAGCACAAAAUCCACAAAGACUCUGAAGGUGGCGCCUUUCUGUGGCACCUUCAGAUCAGGAUACCCUAUUCCAUGAUUUUGGAUGAAUCCUUGAAUCUUUCUGAGCAGAAUUGUUACUAUCACAUCACUGCCAUCCUGAUAAUAGAUAAUAGCUCUCUUCUCAUUGUUGACUGAAUAAUCACCAGCUGAAAAAUGCAGUAGCUAGUAUCAAACUGUACGCAGGGAGCAGGAGUUUCAAUAUGCAUCAACCAACAUGAUGAACAGCUCUAAGAUGAAAUGGUUUUCUCUGACUUGAAAUAAUCUAUUUUUAAUAUUAAAUUUUUAAACAUGAGACUGAGUAAUUAUGUAGUUAUUCAUGUAGAAGCUCUUCCCGUAUUACGUGCUUCUCAGACUGCACCUAACAAAGUGUGACUAGCAUUUAAAAUAUAUCCCUUUCCUGAUCGCCCCAUCCACAGAAAACAUUUCAAGGAAAGAUCCAAUACACAGGAGGUAACUUCUACUCUUAUUCAUAUUUACUUGAAAUCCAUCUUUUUAGAUUUCAAAGUUGUUCCUGAGCUCACUUCGCACUGAUUUUGCAUUCUCUUCCUCUCUUCUUUUUCCACCCUUCUAUGAAUCAUUCUUUCACGCAUACCACACGUUCUUUCAAACAAAUGCGACCUGUAAUUCUUAUACAAAAACUGGAAUUAGUGAAAAUUUGAUAUUUUCCUAACAGUUUCAUUGAAGAUUUCUACUUCAGACAUACUUCCUCUGCAAUAUAUUACUAAUUUAGUAUCCUAAAUAAGAUAGUAUCCUAAAUAGGCCGAGACUUCCAUCAGACUAUUUGCAUGAGAAAGCUUUCUCUAAUAAAGCCAUGUAAUCAUAUAGUGCAGACUAUUCCUGUAAAACACCUAAGUAAAUUUUUUUACACCAUUUUCAUGUUCUGCUAUUUUGGAUCUGCCAUCAUUAGGAUCAAGAUCUGAAAUGACCCUUCAAUAAUACCCUAUUUUUUUUGUUAGAGUUGUAACACCCUUAUGGUAUGAAGUCCAUUACUCUGUCAUAUACUACAAAUCAGGAAAUGGUGUGGAAUCAUAUUUGCCCAUUGCUAUUUUCUUUAUGUCAUUUGUAUAUUUUUUCCUUAUUUUUUUUUUCCGUUUACGAUCCUUUUGUUUCCUACAGAAGAGGCUGAGCUACCAGAAAUCAAUAUAUAAAAAAGCUAAGCAAUAUACAUGAACAGUCAAAAAAAAAAAAAAAAAAAAAAAGUGGAGACCAGCGCUCUGCUCUGUGAGAAGUUUGUAGAAAAAGACAUUAAUAAAAAGUAAUUAACUGUGCCCACGUAUGUUCCUCUUGUUUGAAAUACAGUUUCAGAUCUUAUCUGAAAUUAAGAAACAUACAAACACAAACCUACAUAUGCAACUAAUUUCAUCAAAGGGAUGGGAGAGGUGACUAGAAGCGAUCAAAUGCUGAAGCCAUACUUUGCCACAAGAAAAAGUGAGCAUCUGGGAGUGGAAGGGGUAAAAAAAAAAUUUGCCCAUAUGUUCUAAUUAUUGACAUUCAAUGCCUUUGUCAUCUGCCAAGAGUGGGGAAACAUAACAGCAAGUAUACUGUCCUCACAGAAAUGUCUGAUGGUUUCUUUCCCCAUAUUUCAUUUUAAAAAGUAAUAGAUCAUAAAAGACUACCGUGUAAGAAUCAAGGCGAUGCUGUCCCUUCCAGUUAUGGUUUCAUCCAGAACCUACAAAGGGUCAGGAAGGCUCUAGAAGAUGGACCUUGCACUUAUGGAGAAACUGAUGGACUUGUCCUGUGACUAUAAAGAUUUCAGUUCUAAUAUUCUGUAAUAUAAUACCAGUUUCUUGAGAUUUCCCUUGCCUGGGGCAGGGAGGGGCUGAGCUGUGAGCUCAGAGUUGGCAGUACUGGCAGCACUUCCCCCCCAAGUUUGUCUCCUUUUUCUCCCAGUGCCACAUCACAUGUGUGUGGGACAUGUUUUUCACCACAGUGAGAAAUAAAUUUAACUCACAGGACUCUUAUUACUCAAAUGGAAUGAGGCAUAUAUUUAAUAUCAGCGCCGGCAUUUUUGGAAAGCUUUGUCAGUUAUGUUUCCUGCUGCAUUCAGAAUUCUCAUCUGCUCAAUAAAACAGUUCCU
Lagopus leucura (white-tailed ptarmigan) is the source of this 3552-nucleotide long non-coding RNA. RefSeq lists it as uncharacterized. The transcript has 3 exons. Lineage: Eukaryota; Metazoa; Chordata; Aves; Galliformes; Phasianidae. The record is from RefSeq and is a predicted model, not a curated record.